GCUAAACUCGUGCCAGCAGCAGCGGUAAUACGAGUACCCCAAGCGUUAUCCGGAAUCAUUGGGCGUAAAGGGUGUGUAGGCGGUAUGGUUAGUCUUCUGUCAAAAUCUCGGGCUCAACCCGAGACCUGCGGAGGAAACGGCCAAACUUGAGGGUGCGAGAGGUGAAUGGAACUCAUGGAGUAGGGGUGAAAUCCGUUGAUAUCAUGGGGAACACCGAAAGCGAAGGCAAUUCACUGGCGCAUUUCUGACGCUGAAACACGAAAGCGUGGGUAGCGAACGGGAUUAGAUACCCCGGUAGUCCACGCCCUAAACGAUGAUCACUAGCUUUUCGGAGUAUCAACCCUCUGAGAGGCGAAGCUAACGCGUUAAGUGAUCCGCCUGGGUAGUACGGCCGCAAGGCUAAAACUCAAAGGAAUAGACGGGGACUUGCACAAGCAGUGGAUUAUGCGGUUUAAUUCGAUGUUGAACGAAGAACCUUACCAGGGUUAGAAAUCUAGGUGAACCCCGACAGAAACGUCGGGGGUCCGCAAGGACAGUUAGACAGGUGAUGCAUGGCCGUCGUCAGUUCGUGAUUUGAAUUGUUCCCUUAAGUGGGGUAACGAACGCAACCCUCGUUGCCAGUUACAAGUGUCUGGCGAGACUGCCCCCUCUCCAGUUUUGGAAAUUUCCAAAACUGCAAAACUGGAGAGGGGGAGGAAGGCGAGGAUGACGCCAGGUCAGCAUGUCCCUUGAUACCCUGGGCUACACGCAUAAUACAAUCGCCGCUACAACAGGUUGCGACGGAGUAAUCCUGAGCCAAUCCUAAGAAAAGCGGCGCCAGUUCGGAUAGGGGGCUGCAACUCGACCCCUUGAAGCCGGAAUUGCUAGUAAUCGCGGGUCAGCUAUACCGCGGUGAAUACGUUCUCAAGUCUUGUACUCGGGUCGCCAUGCGAUCGAGUAUGCUAGUUGGUGAGAGUCCAA
This 960-nucleotide ribosomal RNA is filed under the name Candidatus Azambacteria bacterium GW2011_GWF2_42_22. RNAcentral's name for it is "bacterial SSU rRNA". It matches the Rfam family "Bacterial small subunit ribosomal RNA", at positions 496 to 1438 of the family's 1533-position model. The record is from RNAcentral. Lineage: Bacteria; Candidatus Azamiibacteriota.